Molecule: long non-coding RNA, 722 nt
Organism: Pteropus alecto (black flying fox)
Lineage: Eukaryota; Metazoa; Chordata; Mammalia; Chiroptera; Pteropodidae
Exons: 3
Source: RefSeq, a predicted model, not a curated record
ACUUCCUCUUCAAUGAAUAAAUUCAAGAACCUCAACCACAGCAGGAGCCUGAGUCUGGGCUGGAGAUGUGUCAGCAGCCUACCAGACUCAGGGAAGGAACUUAUUCUACAGGCAGAUCUCUCUGGAGCAAACUGAAAACAGGAGCUUGGCUUCAAGGAGACAGGAAGCCAGAACCUGGACUAAAUCUGUGAGCCAUAAAACUUUAAAAGAAUCGGGGAAGGAACACACUCUACAUCCACAUAUCUCUGGAGCGACCUGAAAAGGAGAGCUUGGCCUGAAGGAGACAAGUAGGUUUCUGCUUUGUGGUUAUCAUGAGGCUAACAUAAAACACCUCAUAGAUCACGGUGGCCAGGACAUGGAAGCAAUCGAAGUGUCCUACGAUAGAUGACUGGAUAAAGAAGAUGUGGUACAUAUAUACAAUGAAAUAUUACUCCGCCAUAAGGAAAGAUGAAAUACUGCCAUUUGUGACGUGGAUGGAUCUUGAAAUAAUCAUGCUAAGCAAAAUAAGUCAGACAGAAAAAGUUGAAAACCACAUAUCACUCACAUGCGGUAUAUAAAACUGAAAGCAACAAACGCCUCAUAGAUAAAACAGUCCAUUUAAAGCUAAUAGCAACUUAAUUUUGAUCAUCUGUAAGAGCUCCACCCCUUUAUAUUUUAAUGUCAUAACAUACCUCUUUAUAUAUUGUAUACUUAUUAACUAUUAUAGUAGCUCAUAAAAUGAA